CAGACCUCUGAUCAGGAAAGACUACCCGCUGAGUU
This 35-nucleotide ribosomal RNA is filed under the name Schistidium papillosum. Its description in RNAcentral is "partial 28S ribosomal RNA". Lineage: Eukaryota; Viridiplantae; Streptophyta; Bryopsida; Grimmiales; Grimmiaceae. The record is from RNAcentral. RNAcentral also lists the same sequence under 2 other names.